CGCGUAGGCGGCCUGAUAAGUAGGGGGUGAAAUCCUGCGGCUUAACCGCAGGGCUGCCUUCUAAACUGUCAGGCUCGAGCACAGUAGAGGCAGGUGGAAUUCCCGGUGUAGCGGUGGAAUGCGUAGAGAUCGGGAAGAACAUCAGUGGCGAAGGCGGCCUGCUGGGCUGUUGCUGACGCUGAGGCGCGACAGCGUGGGGAGCAAACA
This 207-nucleotide ribosomal RNA is filed under the name uncultured bacterium. RNAcentral describes it as "partial 16S ribosomal RNA". It matches the Rfam family "Bacterial small subunit ribosomal RNA", at positions 568 to 774 of the family's 1533-position model. The record is from RNAcentral.